RNAcentral lists this ribosomal RNA (459 nucleotides) under uncultured bacterium. RNAcentral's name for it is "partial 16S ribosomal RNA". It matches the Rfam family "Bacterial small subunit ribosomal RNA", at positions 338 to 795 of the family's 1533-position model. The record is from RNAcentral.
CCUACGGGAGGCAGCAGUGAGGAAUAUUGGUCAAUGGUCGGGAGACUGAACCAGCCAAGCCGCGUGAGGGAUGAAGGUACAGAGUAUCGUAAACCUCUUUUGUCAGGGAACAAAGGCGGGGACGUGUCCCCGGAUGAGUGUACCUGAAGAAAAAGCAUCGGCUAACUCCGUGCCAGCAGCCGCGGUAAUACGGGGGAUGCGAGCGUUAUCCGGAUUUAGUGGGUUUAAGGGGUGCGCAGGCUGUCUGUUAAGUCAGCGGUCAAAGCCUGGGGCUCAACCCGGGCCGGCCGUUGAAACUGGCAGUCUCGAGUUGGAGAGAAGUAUGCGGAAUGCGCGGUGUAGCGGUGAAAUGCAUAGAUAUCGCGCAGAACUCCGAUUGCGAAGGCAGCAUGCCGGCUCCACACUGACGCUGAGGCACGAAAGCGUGGGUAUCGAACAGGAUUAGAUACCCCUGUAGUC